Molecule: ribosomal RNA, 327 nt
Filed under: Atlantolacerta andreanskyi
Lineage: Eukaryota; Metazoa; Chordata; Lepidosauria; Squamata; Lacertidae
Description: partial 12S ribosomal RNA
Rfam family: Bacterial small subunit ribosomal RNA
Source: RNAcentral
CUUUCCGCCAGAGAACUACAAGUGAAAAACUUGAAACUCAAAGGACUUGGCGGUGUCCCAUAUCGGCCUAGAGGAGCCUGUCCUAUAAUCGAUACCCCCCGUUUCACCCAACCUCCACUAGCACCCAACAGCCUAUAUACCGCCGUCGACAGUCUACCCCAUGAGGGUUUAAUAGUAGACAAAAUAGCAUGCCCGCUAAUACGUCAGGUCAAGGUGUAGCAAAUGUGGCGGAAGAGAUUGGCUACAUUUUUUAUUUUAAAAAACACGAAAGGCACUAUGAAACCCUGCAUGAAGGUGAAUUUAGUAGUAAAAUAGAUAAGAGUGUCU